CCUANGGGGGGCAGCAGUAAGGAAUAUUGGACAAUGGCCGCAAGGCUGAUCCAGCCAUCCAGCGUGCAGGAAGAAGGCCCUAUGGGUUGUAAACUGCUUUUAUCAGGGAAGAAACCUCUGGAUUCACUCCGGAGCUGACGGUACCUGAAGAAUAAGCACCGGCUAACUCCGUGCCAGCAGCCGCGGUAAUACGGAGGGUGCGAGCGUUAUCCGGAAUUACUGGGUUUAAAGGGUGCGUAGGCGGCUUUGUAAGUCAGGAGUGAAAGUUUGCGGCUCAACCGUAAAAUUGCUUCUGAUACUGCAUAGCUAGAAUUAGGAUGAGGUCAGCGGAAUGUGGCAUGUAGCGGUGAAAUGCAUAGAUAUGCCAUAGAACACCGAUUGCGAAGGCAGCUUACUGGGCCAUUACUGACGCUGAUGCACGAAAGCGUGGGGAGCGAACAGGAUUAGAUACCACANUANUC
RNAcentral lists this ribosomal RNA (461 nucleotides) under uncultured bacterium. RNAcentral describes it as "bacterial SSU rRNA". It matches the Rfam family "Bacterial small subunit ribosomal RNA", at positions 338 to 795 of the family's 1533-position model. The record is from RNAcentral.